AAAAAGCAUCGGAAUUCAACGGAGAAACAUAUACAUGCAUGACAUCAUUUCCACUGUCUAUGUAUAAUUAAGUGUUUCUCGCAGUUUUUAAGCCUUAUACGAGUAUCUAUGAGAGAAUGAGUGUUAGCAAGAGAAACAGUAGUUAAAAAGAUAUUUGACUCGACGAGCAGGAGAUGAAUCCGGAGCGAGAUAAAAAAAAGGAAUAGUACCUUCACUUUUUCGUCGUUUAUCGACAUUCACCGUUGUUGCAGUUGAUCGCCGGCGGUGAGCAAGGAUCGUCGGAGACUCCAGGGGAGGAAACGGGCAAUGGGAGCGACCAACGGACAUGUCGCGACAGUAAAAUGAAAUUAUAUAGGGCUUUGCCGAGUGAGGGAAAAGUGGAAAACACUUGACCGCACUCCGUGUUUCCCUUGGGCUAGUUUGGUACGAGCAAUAAAAAGU
RNAcentral lists this long non-coding RNA (441 nucleotides) under Nicotiana benthamiana. Its description in RNAcentral is "long non-coding RNA (NBEN_LNC002513)". The record is from RNAcentral. Lineage: Eukaryota; Viridiplantae; Streptophyta; Magnoliopsida; Solanales; Solanaceae.